UAACUACUCCCUCCGUCCCAAAAAAUUUGUCUUAGGUUUGUCUAAAAAUGAAUGUAUCCAAAUACUAAAACGUGAAAAGAUACAUUCAUAUAUAAACAAAUGUAAGACAAGAAUUUUGAGACAGAGGGAGUACUUU
This is a non-coding RNA of Hordeum vulgare subsp. vulgare (domesticated barley), 136 nucleotides long. The record is from Rfam. Lineage: Eukaryota; Viridiplantae; Streptophyta; Magnoliopsida; Poales; Poaceae.